UGAUGAGAAAGGUGAUGAGAGUGGUCAUGCAACCGGGAGUCAGAAUGAGAACCCCAGUGUCAAUCCCAAAUCUUCAGGAAACUCGAAAAAUGGAAUCGUUGUUUUCGUUUAGCUCUAUCAUCAAAGGCAGGGAAGAAUUCAGUGCUUCUACCUACUAGGCGCUUCAAAACUAAGGACAUGAUGCAGUCUGAAGAGGAGAUGUUCAUGGCGUCUUUGAUCUGCAAUUUGGAAGUUGAUUGUGGGAAGCUUCUAGUCUGCAAAUCUGAUCUUGAUUGUAUAAA
This is a long non-coding RNA of Rosa chinensis, 281 nucleotides long. RefSeq lists it as uncharacterized. The record is from RefSeq and is a predicted model, not a curated record. Lineage: Eukaryota; Viridiplantae; Streptophyta; Magnoliopsida; Rosales; Rosaceae. The transcript has 3 exons.